Molecule: long non-coding RNA, 1324 nt
Filed under: Parus major (Great Tit)
Lineage: Eukaryota; Metazoa; Chordata; Aves; Passeriformes; Paridae
Description: lncRNA (ENSPMJG00000015330.1)
Source: RNAcentral
GUAAGAGUGACUUCCUUGCAUUCAUAGUGGCACAUAGUGAGUCAGAUCAGAAAAGAAUGUCAAAAGCAGUGUGGAUUCCCUGAGCAGAAAUGCUACCUUCUCUAAGAAGGGAAAAAAAAAAACCCAGCCAAAACCCAACAGAAACCACCCCAAUCCUAUCAUGCACCCCAUUCUCUUCAAAUCUUUUGGAAUUUGACUUGUCUCAUGUAGGAUUAAAGUCAUGAUCUAAUGUUUCUGUGCGUGAAGUUAACCUACUCUUAGUAAACAAAAAUAUAAGUAUUAAUGCCUUUCUAUGUUAUUUAUGCAUUACACAUCCUUAUUGCACCUUCAUAUUGAAUGGCAAGGUAGAGCGUGCCUCAAGUCACCCCCUCUCUUAUAUUUUAAAAUAUGAUGAUACAGUUGCAUCUUGCACAACCAGAAAUUAAUCAGAUGCAGAGGAAAUGUGACUUGGUUGUCAUGAGCAGGCAUCACGAAUCUAAUUUAUCUCAUCAUUUCUCCACCCCAAACAGAGACAUCACCUCUGACACACUUGCUUAAUUUCCUAGUCCAGCUAUGAAGGCAACUGUUCCAGUUGUACUAGUUGGAAGGUACAUCAUGUUAUUAUUACAUCUCAGUCAUGAAAGCAGAUGCCUACCAAGGUUUUUUGGGACUUCCCCGUCCCCCAGGAUUAUUUCAGCCCUGGACUGUAGAGGAACAUCAAUAUCUCCCAGGUCUUCUUGUGGUCAGACUCCCUCCGUGCCAGAGUUGAAGAGCCAUGAGAGGGAACUCCCAGCCUGGAGUAGGAGGCAACAUUGAGCCAUAAUAUUAAAGAAGAUGGAGGUGGAUAGUGCAGAUUGCUCUGACCAGCACUGAAGAAGUGAUGUGAGGCCACUCCAUCAGUCACAGCAUGGUGAAUCACCUAAACCAGAAAUACAUUGCUGCCUUGCCAGUGAAAACUGAUGUUACAUCAGUGGUUAAGCAAAUGGGAGGAAAACAGUAAGUAACUUCCUUCAGCCUGUCUGGAUUUAAAUCCAGCUACACCAAGAUUAAAAACUCUGCAGUUUCACUGCUAGUUCUUUAAUUUUCCAGUUUGAUGAGAGGUUUGCAAUGAAAUUUGUUUUGUUGUUUCACCCUUGCUUUCUUGUUUGCUAAUGUCUAAAACACAGUAAUUUUUUUGGUAGGAAAAGUUGUUGUACUGUUUCCUAAGACAGGCUUUAAGAUUUUCAUUCAUUCUAUAGUGAACGUGUUCGGGUCCUGCUGCUGUUGGUUGUUGCUCUAGGAUUUAUCUAGCUGCACUAACAGUGGGUGGUAAAUGCAAUAAAAAACAAAACCAAUCAAUUAAGCA